CCUCGACGUGUACAUAUGAUUCUACAGGUUUUUUGACAACAUUGUGGGUCCUGAGGGCGAAUGCCUCCGCCUUGACAUGUGCCUGGCAGUCUGAUCUCUUCACAUGUAGGCUCACCUCACCUAUGUCCUGGAUCCUUUGGACCGCAUUCUAGAUGUUUCCAAUUUCCAGGGCCAUUCCCCAAUUUUCAACUCCGAUGAGAGACAACACAUGCAGGCAUGGCUG
Molecule: long non-coding RNA, 223 nt
Organism: Sardina pilchardus (European sardine)
Lineage: Eukaryota; Metazoa; Chordata; Actinopteri; Clupeiformes; Clupeidae
Exons: 3
Source: RefSeq, a predicted model, not a curated record